UGGCUCAGGAUGAACGCUGGCGGCGUGCCUAAUACAUGCAAGUCGAGCGAAUGGAUUAAGAGCUUGCUCUUAUGAAGUUAGCGGCGGACGGGUGAGUAACACGUGGGUAACCUGCCCAUAAGACUGGGAUAACUCCGGGAAACCGGGGCUAAUACCGGAUAACAUUUUGAACCGCAUGGUUCGAAAUUGAAAGGCGGCUUCGGCUGUCACUUAUGGAUGGACCCGCGUCGCAUUAGCUAGUUGGUGAGGUAACGGCUCACCAAGGCAACGAUGCGUAGCCGACCUGAGAGGGUGAUCGGCCACACUGGGACUGAGACACGGCCCAGACUCCUACGGGAGGCAGCAGUAGGGAAUCUUCCGCAAUGGACGAAAGUCUGACGGAGCAACGCCGCGUGAGUGAUGAAGGCUUUCGGGUCGUAAAACUCUGUUUUUAGGGAAGAACAAGUGCUAGUUGAAUAAGCUGGCACCUUGUCGGUACCUAACCAGAAAGCCACGGCUAACUACGUGCCAGCAGCCGCGGUAAUACGUAGGUGGCAAGCGUUAUCCGGAAUUAUUGGGGGUAAAGCGCGCGCAGGUGGUUUCUUAAGUCUGAUGUGAAAGCCCACGGCUCAACCGUGGAGGGUCAUUGGAAACUGGGAGACUUGAGUGCAGAAGAGGAAAGUGGAAUUCCAUGUGUAGCGGUGAAAUGCGUAGAGAUAUGGAGGAACACCAGUGGCGAAGGCGACUUUCUGGUCUGUAACUGACACUGAGGCGCGAAAGCGUGGGGAGCAAACAGGAUUAGAU
RNAcentral lists this ribosomal RNA (783 nucleotides) under Bacillus albus. Its description in RNAcentral is "bacterial SSU rRNA". It matches the Rfam family "Bacterial small subunit ribosomal RNA", at positions 20 to 783 of the family's 1533-position model. Lineage: Bacteria; Bacillati; Bacillota; Bacilli; Caryophanales; Bacillaceae. The record is from RNAcentral.